AACAGGAUUAGAUACCCUGGUAGUCCACGCCGUAAACGAUGUCGACUUGGAGGUUGUGCCCUUGAGGCGUGGCUUCCGGAGCUAACGCGUUAAGUCGACCGCCUGGGGAGUACGGCCGCAAGGUUAAAACUCAAAUGAAUUGACGGGGGCCCGCACAAGCGGUGGAGCAUGUGGUUUAAUUCGAUGCAACGCGAAGAACCUUACCUGGUCUUGACAUCCACGGAAGUUUUCAGAGAUGAGAAUGUGCCUUCGGGAACCGUGAGACAGGUGCUGCAUGGCUGUCGUCAGCUCGUGUUGUGAAAUGUUGGGUUAAGUCCCGCAACGAGCGCAACCCUUAUCCUUUGUUGCCAGCGGUCCGGCCGGGAACUCAAAGGAGACUGCCAGUGAUAAACUGGAGGAAGGUGGGGAUGACGUCAAGUCAUCAUGGCCCUUACGACCAGGGCUACACACGUGCUACAAUGGCGCAUAUAAAGAGAAGCGACCUCGCGAGAGCAAGCGGACCUCAUAAAGUGCGUCGUAGUCCGGAUUGGAGUCUGCAACUCGACUCCAUGAAGUCGGAAUCGCUAGUAAUCGUGGAUCAGAAUGCCACGGUGAAUACGUUCCCGGGCCUUGUACACACCGCCCGUCACACCAUGGGAGUGGGUUGCAAAAGAAGUAGGUAGCUUAACCUUCGGGAGGGCGCUUACCACUUUGUGAUUCAUGACUGGGGUGAAGUCGUAACAAGGUAACC
This 730-nucleotide ribosomal RNA is filed under the name uncultured bacterium. RNAcentral's name for it is "bacterial SSU rRNA". It matches the Rfam family "Bacterial small subunit ribosomal RNA", at positions 771 to 1501 of the family's 1533-position model. The record is from RNAcentral.